GGAAGUAAAAGUCGUAACAAGGUUUCCGUAGGUGAACCUGCGGAAGGAUCAUUACUGAUUUAGCGAACCGAGCGUUAGCGAGGUUUUGCGAUCAACUUGUAUUUAAAACCCACUCUUCAAUGUAUAAAAUUUGUAUUAAUGAUAAAUUAAAAGAUCACUUUCAACAACGGAUCUCUUGGCUCUCGCAUCGAUGAAGAACGUAGCGAAGUGCGAUAAGUAAUGUGAAUUGCAGUAUUCCGUGAAUCAUCGAACCUUUGAACGCAUAUUGCACUUUCUGGUAUUCCGGAAAGUAUGCCUGUUUGAGGGUCAGUUAAAUAAAAAUCGGUGUUGUUGCCGCUUUCCGUGGUGACGCGUCGGAAUUGAGUCGUCUUCGGUUAAGUGACUUAAAAUUUUGUAUGAUUUUUGAACGUAUUUAAAUUUAUUUGUACGUUUGAGAUAUCGAAUAUUUAUUAGGUUCGGUCAUUCUAACGACUCGCGCCUAUAAUUUUCCAUUAAAUGACCUCAAAUCAGGUAAGAAUACCCGCUGAACUUAAGCAUAUCAAUAAGCGGAGGA
Molecule: ribosomal RNA, 553 nt
Filed under: uncultured Glomus
Lineage: Eukaryota; Fungi; Glomeromycota; Glomeromycetes; Glomerales; Glomeraceae
Description: eukaryotic LSU rRNA
Rfam family: 5.8S ribosomal RNA (bases 156-309)
Source: RNAcentral